UUUAACGGCCACGGUACCCUAACCGUGCGAAGGUAGCAUAAUCACUUGUUCUCUAAAUGGGGACUUGUAUCAACGGCAUCACGAGGGUUACACUGUCUCCUUUCUCCAAUCAGUGAAACUGAUCUCCCCGUGAAGAAGCGGGGAUAAGAAUAUAAGACGAGAAGACCCCAUGGAGCUUUAAGCUCAACAACACCUCUACAAUAUACCUCCUCUUAAACUACGAGACCUGUCUGUUAGCUUUAGGUUGGGGUGACCGCGGAGUAUAAUAUAACCUCCACGACUGACGGGACUAACCCCUUAUCCAAGAGCCACUGCUCUAAGAAUCAUUAAUUUGAUGUAAAAUGAUCCGUUCUUCGAUCAACGAACCAAGUUACCCUGGGGAUAACAGCGCAAUCUACUUCAAGAGCUCCUAUCGACAAGUAGGUUUACGACCUCGAUGUUGGAUCAGGGUAUCCUAGUGGUGCAGCCGCUACUAAAGGUUCGUUUGUUCAACGAUUAAAACCCUACGUGAU
RNAcentral lists this ribosomal RNA (512 nucleotides) under Arthroleptella landdrosia (Landdros moss frog). RNAcentral describes it as "partial 16S ribosomal RNA". It matches the Rfam family "Bacterial large subunit ribosomal RNA", at positions 1923 to 2604 of the family's 2925-position model. The record is from RNAcentral. Lineage: Eukaryota; Metazoa; Chordata; Amphibia; Anura; Pyxicephalidae.